GAUGAACGCUAGCGGCAGGCCUAAUACAUGCAAGUCGGACGGGAUUUGGGAGCUUGCUCCUAAUGAGAGUGGCGCACGGGUGCGUAACACGUAUGUAACCUACCUUAGUCAGGGGGAUAGCCUCUCGAAAGAGAGAUUAAGACCGCAUAACAUUAUUGAGUGGCAUCAUUUAAUAAUCAAAUAUUUAUAGGACUAAGAUGGGCAUGCGGAACAUUAGCUAGUUGGUAGGGUAACGGCCUACCAAGGCUACGAUGUUUAGGGGAUCUGAGAGGAUGGCCCCCCACACUGGUACUGAGACACGGACCAGACUCCUACGGGAGGCAGCAGUAAGGAAUAUUGGUCAAUGGGCGGAAGCCUGAACCAGCCAUGCCGCGUGCAGGAAGACGGCCCUACGGGUUGUAGACUGCUUUUAUACGGGAAUAAAGUUAGCCACGUGUGGUUAUUUGUAGGUACUGUAUGAAUAAGGACCGGCUAAUUCCGUGCCAGCCGCCGCCGUAA
This 498-nucleotide ribosomal RNA is filed under the name uncultured bacterium. Its description in RNAcentral is "partial 16S ribosomal RNA". It matches the Rfam family "Bacterial small subunit ribosomal RNA", at positions 28 to 523 of the family's 1533-position model. The record is from RNAcentral.